UGGGGAAUUUUGGACAAUGGGCGAAAGCCUGAUCCAGCAAUGCCGCGUGUGUGAAGAAGGCCUUCGGGUUGUAAAGCACUUUUGUCCGGAAAGAAAUCCUUGGCUCUAAUACAGUCGGGGGAUGACGGUACCGGAAGAAUAAGCACCGGCUAACUACGUGCCAGCAGCCGCGGUAAUACGUAGGGUGCAAGCGUUAAUCGGAAUUACUGGGCGUAAAGCGUGCGCAGGCGGUUUGCUAAGACCGAUGUGAAAUCCCCGGGCUCAACCUGGGAACUGCAUUGGUGACUGGCAGGCUAGAGUAUGGCAGAGGGGGGUAGAAUUCCACGUGUAGCAGUGAAAUGCGUAGAGAUGUGGAGGAAUACCGAUGGCGAAGGCAGCCCCUGGGCCAAUACUGACGCUCAUGCACGAAAGCGUGGGGAGCAAACAGGAUUAGAUACCCUGGUAGUCCACGCCCUAAACGAUGUCAACUAGUUGUUGGGGAUUCAUUUCCUUAGUAACGUAGCUAACGCGUGAAGUUGACCGCCUGGGGAGUACGGUCGCAAGAUUAAAACUCAAAUGAAUUGACGGGGUCAUAGCUGUUUCCU
Molecule: ribosomal RNA, 584 nt
Filed under: uncultured bacterium
Lineage: Bacteria
Description: partial 16S ribosomal RNA
Rfam family: Bacterial small subunit ribosomal RNA
Source: RNAcentral